Molecule: ribosomal RNA, 1811 nt
Filed under: Staphylococcus aureus subsp. aureus CIG1150
Lineage: Bacteria; Bacillati; Bacillota; Bacilli; Caryophanales; Staphylococcaceae
Description: bacterial LSU rRNA
Rfam family: Bacterial large subunit ribosomal RNA
Source: RNAcentral
AGAAGCAGCCAUCAUUUAAAGAGUGCGUAAUAGCUCACUAGUCGAGUGACACUGCGCCGAAAAUGUACCGGGGCUAAACAUAUUACCGAAGCUGUGGAUUGUCCUUUGGACAAUGGUAGGAGAGCGUUCUAAGGGCGUUGAAGCAUGAUCGUAAGGACAUGUGGAGCGCUUAGAAGUGAGAAUGCCGGUGUGAGUAGCGAAAGACGGGUGAGAAUCCCGUCCACCGAUUGACUAAGGUUUCCAGAGGAAGGCUCGUCCGCUCUGGGUUAGUCGGGUCCUAAGCUGAGGCCGACAGGCGUAGGCGAUGGAUAACAGGUUGAUAUUCCUGUACCACCUAUAAUCGUUUUAAUCGAUGGGGGGACGCAGUAGGAUAGGCGAAGCGUGCGAUUGGAUUGCACGUCUAAGCAGUAAGGCUGAGUAUUAGGCAAAUCCGGUACUCGUUAAGGCUGAGCUGUGAUGGGGAGAAGACAUUGUGUCUUCGAGUCGUUGAUUUCACACUGCCGAGAAAAGCCUCUAGAUAGAAAAUAGGUGCCCGUACCGCAAACCGACACAGGUAGUCAAGAUGAGAAUUCUAAGGUGAGCGAGCGAACUCUCGUUAAGGAACUCGGCAAAAUGACCCCGUAACUUCGGGAGAAGGGGUGCUCUUUAGGGUUAACGCCCAGAAGAGCCGCAGUGAAUAGGCCCAAGCGACUGUUUAUCAAAAACACAGGUCUCUGCUAAACCGUAAGGUGAUGUAUAGGGGCUGACGCCUGCCCGGUGCUGGAAGGUUAAGAGGAGUGGUUAGCUUCUGCGAAGCUACGAAUCGAAGCCCCAGUAAACGGCGGCCGUAACUAUAACGGUCCUAAGGUAGCGAAAUUCCUUGUCGGGUAAGUUCCGACCCGCACGAAAGGCGUAACGAUUUGGGCACUGUCUCAACGAGAGACUCAGUGAAAUCAUAGUACCUGUGAAGAUGCAGGUUACCCGCGACAGGACGGAAAGACCCCGUGGAGCUUUACUGUAGCCUGAUAUUGAAAUUCGGCACAGCUUGUACAGGAUAGGUAGGAGCCUUUGAAACGUGAGCGCUAGCUUACGUGGAGGCGCUGGUGGGAUACUACCCUAGCUGUGUUGGCUUUCUAACCCGCACCACUUAUCGUGGUGGGAGACAGUGUCAGGCGGGCAGUUUGACUGGGGCGGUCGCCACCUAAAAGGUAACGGAGGCGCUCAAAGGUUCCCUCAGAAUGGUUGGAAAUCAUUCAUAGAGUGUAAAGGCAUAAGGGAGCUUGACUGCGAGACCUACAAGUCGAGCAGGGUCGAAAGACGGACUUAGUGAUCCGGUGGUUCCGCAUGGAAGGGCCAUCGCUCAACGGAUAAAAGCUACCCCGGGGAUAACAGGCUUAUCUCCCCCAAGAGUUCACAUCGACGGGGAGGUUUGGCACCUCGAUGUCGGCUCAUCGCAUCCUGGGGCUGUAGUCGGUCCCAAGGGUUGGGCUGUUCGCCCAUUAAAGCGGUACGCGAGCUGGGUUCAGAACGUCGUGAGACAGUUCGGUCCAUAUCCGUCGUGGGCGCAGGAAAUUUGAGAGGAGCUGUCCUUAGUACGAGAGGACCGGGAUGGACAUACCUCUGGUGUACCAGUUGUCGUGCCAACGGCAUAGCUGGGUAGCUAUGUGUGGACGGGAUAAGUGCUGAAAGCAUCUAAGCAUGAAGCCCCCUCAAGAUGAGAUUUCCCAACUUCGGUUAUAAGAUCCCUCAAAGAUGAUGAGGUUAAUAGGUUCGAGGUGGAAGCAUGGUGACAUGUGGAGCUGACGAAUACUAAUCGAUCGAAGACUUAAUCA